UGAAGAUUUAAUUCAAAAUAAAUUUCAAAACAUCGAUGAUAAAAGUAAAUUUUUUCUCUAUAAAAAACUUAAAAAAGAUUACAAACUAGAAUAUUAUCUAAAUACAUCUAAUUUUCAGAUAAGGAGAUUAAUCACUAAAUUUAGAAUAAGUGAUCACUCCCUCUUGAUUGAAAAGGGGAGAUAUUUUAAAAUCCCAAGAGAGGAACGUCUUUGCCAUAAAUGUAAAAUACUAGAGGAUGAGAAACAUUUUUUACUAUAUUGUGAGUAUAAUAAAACUCUAAGAAAUGACUUUUUUCAUCACAUAUGUACAGAAAAUAAUAACUUUAAUAAUUUA
Molecule: long non-coding RNA, 334 nt
Filed under: Mytilus galloprovincialis (Mediterranean mussel)
Lineage: Eukaryota; Metazoa; Mollusca; Bivalvia; Mytilida; Mytilidae
Source: RNAcentral